GACGAACGCUGGCGGCGUGCCUAAUACAUGCAAGUAGAACGCACAGUUUAUACCGUAGCUUGCUACACCAUAGACUGUGAGUUGCGAACGGGUGAGUAACGCGUAGGUAACCUGCCUGGUAGCGGGGGAUAACUAUUGGAAACGAUAGCUAAUACCGCAUAAUAUUAAUUAUUGCAUGAUAAUUAAUUGAGAGGUGCAAUUGCACCACUACCAGAUGGACCUGCGUUGUAUUAGCUAGUAGGUGAGGUAACGGCUCACCUAGGCGACGAUACAUAGCCGACCUGAGAGGGUGAUCGGCCACACUGGGACUGAGACACGGCCCAGACUCCUACGGGAGGCAGCAGUAGGGAAUCUUCGGCAAUGGACGAAAGUCUGACCGAGCAACGCCGCGUGAGUGAAGAAGGUUUUCGGAUCGCAAAGCUCUGUUGUAAGAGAAGAACGGGUGUGAGAGUGGAAAGUUCACACUGUGACGGUAUCUUACCAGAAAGGGACGGCUAACUACGUG
This 505-nucleotide ribosomal RNA is filed under the name uncultured bacterium. RNAcentral describes it as "partial 16S ribosomal RNA". It matches the Rfam family "Bacterial small subunit ribosomal RNA", at positions 28 to 507 of the family's 1533-position model. The record is from RNAcentral.